RNA transcript from Mercurialis annua (annual mercury), 1973 nucleotides. It is a transcript of the gene named probable magnesium transporter NIPA3, with no coding region annotated. The record is from RefSeq and is a predicted model, not a curated record. NCBI's taxonomy places the organism in Eukaryota, Viridiplantae, Streptophyta, Magnoliopsida, Malpighiales, Euphorbiaceae. The transcript has 9 exons.
CAUGUAAAGAGAGAGUCGGAGAAGAGUCAUUAUUUUGGUAAAACAAAAAAUUUGAGUAAAACAAUUUUCUCAUUUCCUUUCUCUCUAAUCCAAGCAAUCUCUCUCUCUCUAAUUUCCUCUCUUCUUCACUGCUUCUCACUUCAUUUUAAGCGCCGACACAAUCUUUAUUUCUCCUCUCAAGAUCCAAUCUUUUCUUCAAUCUUUACUUUACAGUCCAAACCCAAGUCAAAUCUUCCUCAAAGAUUUCUUCUUUAACUCAUUUCUCACUUACCCACUUGAAAAUUCUCUCAAGUUUCUAUCUAAUCAACUGAAAAAUGACAUGGGUAUCUCUUAAAAAUCUUGUUCUUGAUCUAGAAAUCACAAAUGGGGACUUGGGUAUUUGCCAAUUUUGAUUCUUGGUCAGUAGGUUUUGAGUUGGGAGUUUGAGAUGAUUUUUUUGUGAUAUAAGGCGAUAAAGAUUAGAAAUUUUGGGGUUCUGUUGAAGUGGGUGAGUAUUUUUUUUGUUAGUUAGUUGGUGCCAUGGCUACACAGAGCUGGAGAGACUCUUACAAGGGUAUGUCUUCCGAUAAUAUCAAGGGGUUGGUUAUGGCAUUAUCCUCUAGCAUUUUCAUUGGUGCUAGCUUCAUUGUUAAGAAGAAGGGUUUGAAAAAGGCCGGUGCUUCUGGUCUUAGGGCAGGAAGCGGAGGCUAUUCUUACUUAUACGAACCACUUUGGUGGGUGGGCAUGAUAACAAUGAUUGUUGGGGAAAUUGCUAAUUUUGCUGCUUAUGCUUUUGCACCUGCUAUAUUGGUUACUCCCCUCGGCGCUCUCAGUAUUAUUAUCAGCGCGGCUCUUGCUCAUAUUAUUUUGAAUGAGAAAUUACAUAUUUUUGGAAUUCUUGGUUGUGUUCUUUGUGUUGUGGGUUCUACAACAAUUGUCUUGCAUGCUCCUCAAGAACGCGAAAUUGAAUCUGUAAAAGAAGUUUGGGAUCUUGCUACUGAACCUGCUUUUCUUUUCUAUGCAGCCUUGGUCAUAACAGCUGUCUUUAUACUGAUAUUCCAAUAUAUCCCUGAAUAUGGCCAGACACAUAUAAUGGUUUACAUAGGCGUUUGUUCUCUUGUCGGUUCUUUAUCGGUCAUGAGUGUUAAAGCACUUGGAAUUGCAAUAAAGUUGACAUUAUCGGGAAUGAAUCAGCUCGUAUAUCCCCAAACUUGGGCGUUCGCUUUAGUUGUAAUUACUUGUGUGGUUACGCAAAUGAAUUAUUUGAACAAGGCACUUGAUACAUUUAACACCGCUGUCGUAUCUCCUAUAUACUAUGUUAUGUUCACGUCGCUAACAAUUGUGGCUAGUGUAAUUAUGUUCAAGUGUGCUUUUCUUCGCAGGAUUGGGAUAGGCAGAGUCCAACACAGAUUGUCACUGAAAUGUGCGGGUUUGUGACCAUCCUUUCAGGAACCUUUUUGCUUCACAAGACGAAGGAUAUGGUUGAUGGGCCAGCUUCUCUACCGGUGCGACUACCUAAGCACACAGAAGACGACGACUUUGGGUCCGAAGGCAUCCCUCUCAGGCGGCAAGAGACAUCGAGAUCACAGAACUGACAUUAUUGAGCUCCUUUAUGCCAAACAUGAUAUUUUGGGGAGGGACUAUCCAACAUCAACCUGUAUUUUAUGGAAGUUCAUCCAUUAUGUUCUUUACAGGAAGAAGUCGGAAUUUAGAGACGGGAAGCAGAUGAUCAUUAUCUUCCAUCUUAAUUUUUGGCGGCGUAAGGAGUUAGCUUUCACUUUUGCCUUGUAUCCACUCUUCCAAGUUCAUACAGAUAGAAAUGGCCAAUGUAAUUUUGAGCAUAUUGGUAAUAUAUAAUCCAUCUUUUUUCCAUUUCUUCCAGAAUUAGAUUUUAGCUUAGCUUGUGGAGCAUCUGUAAAAUUCUUGCCCUUCAGUUUUUAUCCUUGGCAGACAGAAUGGCGCAUUAAUGAAUUAUUUUAGAUCUGUUUGAUUUA